This 1401-nucleotide ribosomal RNA is filed under the name uncultured bacterium. Its description in RNAcentral is "bacterial SSU rRNA". It matches the Rfam family "Bacterial small subunit ribosomal RNA". The record is from RNAcentral.
AGAGUUUGAUCCUGGCUCAGAUUGAACGCUGGCGGCAGGCCUAACACAUGCAAGUCGAACGGUAACAGAAAGCAGCUUGCUGCUUUGCUGACGAGUGGCGGACGGGUGAGUAAUGUCUGGGAAACUGCCUGAUGGAGGGGGAUGACUACUGGAAACGGUAGCUAAUACCGCAUAACGUCGCAAGACCAAAGAGGGGGACCUUCGGGCCUCUUGCCAUCGGAUGUGCCCAGAUGGGAUUAGCUAGUAGGUGAGGUAACGGCUCACCAAGGCGACGAUACAUAGCCGACCUGAGAGGGUGAUCGGCCACACUGGGACUGAGACACGGCCCAGACUCCUACGGGAGGCAGCAGUAGGGAAUCUUCGGCAAUGGGGGCAACCCUGACCGAGCAACGCCGCGUGAGUGAAGAAGGUUUUCGGAUCGUAAAGCUCUGUUGUAAGAGAAGAACGUGUGUGAGAGUGGAAAGUUCACACAGUGACGGUAACUUACCAGAAAGGGACGGCUAACUACGUGCCAGCAGCCGCGGUAAUACGUAGGUCCCGAGCGUUGUCCGGAUUUAUUGGGCGUAAAGCGAGCGCAGGCGGUUUAAUAAGUCUGAAGUUAAAGGCAGUGGCUUAACCAUUGUUCGCUUUGGAAACUGUUAGACUUGAGUGCAGAAGGGGAGAGUGGAAUUCCAUGUGUAGCGGUGAAAUGCGUAGAUAUAUGGAGGAACACCGGUGGCGAAAGCGGCUCUCUGGUCUGUAACUGACGCUGAGGCUCGAAAGCGUGGGGAGCAAACAGGAUUAGAUACCCUGGUAGUCCACGCCGUAAACGAUGAGUGCUAGGUGUUAGGCCCUUUCCGGGGCUUAGUGCCGCAGCUAACGCAUUAAGCACUCCGCCUGGGGAGUACGACCGCAAGGUUGAAACUCAAAGGAAUUGACGGGGGCCCGCACAAGCGGUGGAACCAUGUGGUUUAAUUCGAAGCAACGCGAAGAACCUUACCAGGUCUUGACAUCCCGAUGCUAUUCCUAGAGAUAGGAAGUUUCUUCGGAACAUCGGUGACAGGUGGUGCAUGGUUGUCGUCAGCUCGUGUCGUGAGAUGUUGGGUUAAGUCCCGCAACGAGCGCAACCCCUAUUGUUAGUUGCCAUCAUUAAGUUGGGCACUCUAGCGAGACUGCCGGUAAUAAACCGGAGGAAGGUGGGGAUGACGUCAAAUCAUCAUGCCCCUUAUGACCUGGGCUACACACGUGCUACAAUGGUUGGUACAACGAGUCGCGAGUCGGUGACGGCAAGCAAAUCUCUUAAAGCCAAUCUCAGUUCGGAUUGUAGGCUGCAACUCGCCUACAUGAAGUCGGAAUCGCUAGUAAUCGCGGAUCAGCACGCCGCGGUGAAUACGUUCCCGGGCCUUGCACACACCGCCCGUC